GAUGAACGCUAGCUACAGGCUUAACACAUGCAAGUCGAGGGACCGGCGCACGGGUGAGUAACACGUAUCCAACCUUCCUUUUACUCGGUGAUAGCCUUUCGAAAUCACGAAUACUACCCGAUAUAAAGGAUGGGGAUGCGUUCCAUUAGGUUGUUGGUGAGGUAACGGCCCACCAAGCCUUCGCUGGAUAGGGGUUCUGAGAGGAAGGUCCCCCAGAUUGGAGCGGAGACCCGGUCCAAAAUGCUACGGGAGGCAGCAGUGAGGAAUAUUGGUCAAUGGGCGUUAGCCUGAACCAGCCAAGUAGCGUGAAGAAUGAAGGGUUAUGGGUCGUAAACUUCUUUUAUAUAAGAAUAUGUAUUAUAUGAAUAAGGAUCGGCUAACUCCGUGCCAGCAGCCGCGGUAAUAC
This 406-nucleotide ribosomal RNA is filed under the name uncultured bacterium. Its description in RNAcentral is "partial 16S ribosomal RNA". It matches the Rfam family "Bacterial small subunit ribosomal RNA", at positions 28 to 526 of the family's 1533-position model. The record is from RNAcentral.